Molecule: long non-coding RNA, 315 nt
Organism: Saccostrea echinata
Lineage: Eukaryota; Metazoa; Mollusca; Bivalvia; Ostreida; Ostreidae
Exons: 3
Source: RefSeq, a predicted model, not a curated record
CAGAUUUUUCUUGAAUUCGAGGAUAAUGAUGUUAUUACCAGCUGAUUAAGGAGGAGUAGUGUAAGUGUCAGAUGGGUACGAACGUCAUCUUGUGACAGCAUCACCUUUGUUUGGCUAAAGUACAAGAGAACUGCAGCAUCUAAGACUACAUGUACAUCGACUUUGAAUAAUCUACCCGGUAUAUCCUCAAAAAGGCAACUCAAAUACAGAAAGUGCAUAUAAUUUGGAAAAGAGACCAUCAAUCCACUGGGGGGUAUCGCAUGAAAGCAAUGAUUAUAGAAUAUUGUAAGGCUGGAGGAGUUAUAGUACAACAGG